CCCGAUUACGGGUAAACAUUCACGGAGAGUUUGAUCCUGGCUCAGGACGAACGCUGGCGGCGUGCUUAACACAUGCAAGUCGAACGAUGAAGCCCUUCGGGGUGGAUUAGUGGCGAACGGGUGAGUAACACGUGGGCAAUCUGCCCUUCACUCUGGGACAAGCCCUGGAAACGGGGUCUAAUACCGGAUAACACCGGCUUCCGCAUGGGAGCUGGUUGAAAGCUCCGGCGGUGAAGGAUGAGCCCGCGGCCUAUCAGCUUGUUGGUGGGGUAAUGGCCUACCAAGGCGACGACGGGUAGCCGGCCUGAGAGGGCGACCGGCCACACUGGGACUGAGACACGGCCCAGACUCCUACGGGAGGCAGCAGUGGGGAAUAUUGCACAAUGGGCGAAAGCCUGAUGCAGCGACGCCGCGUGAGGGAUGACGGCUUCGGGUUGUAA
This 440-nucleotide ribosomal RNA is filed under the name Streptomyces venezuelae ATCC 10712. RNAcentral's name for it is "bacterial SSU rRNA". It matches the Rfam family "Bacterial small subunit ribosomal RNA", at positions 1 to 428 of the family's 1533-position model. The record is from RNAcentral. Lineage: Bacteria; Bacillati; Actinomycetota; Actinomycetes; Kitasatosporales; Streptomycetaceae.